AGGGAUAUCUAUUCAACUUGUUGCUAGGGAGGGGAACAACAACUGGAAACGGUUGCUAAUACCCCGUAGGCUGAGGAGCAAAAGGAGAAAUCCGCCCAAGGAGGGGCUCGCGUCUGAUUAGCUAGUUGGUGAGGUAAUAGCUUACCAAGGCGAUGAUCAGUAGCUCGUCCGAGAGGAUGAUCAGC
Molecule: non-coding RNA, 185 nt
Filed under: Triticum aestivum (bread wheat)
Lineage: Eukaryota; Viridiplantae; Streptophyta; Magnoliopsida; Poales; Poaceae
Description: Bacterial small subunit ribosomal RNA
Rfam family: Bacterial small subunit ribosomal RNA
Source: Rfam by way of RNAcentral